This 158-nucleotide microRNA precursor is filed under the name Hordeum vulgare. Its description in RNAcentral is "miR6189 stem-loop (hvu-MIR6189)". Lineage: Eukaryota; Viridiplantae; Streptophyta; Magnoliopsida; Poales; Poaceae. The record is from miRBase by way of RNAcentral.
GGGUUGAAAAAGGUGAUGCUGUGGUGAUCUACUUGCCGAUGCUCAUGGAGCUGCCUAUUGCAAUGCUUGCAUGCGCCCGCAUUGGUGCUGUUCACUCUGUCGUGUUUGCUGGCUUCUCUGCCGAUGCAAUAGCCCAGAGGAUCACUGACUGCAAGCCU